Molecule: transfer RNA, 73 nt
Filed under: Micromonospora parathelypteridis
Lineage: Bacteria; Bacillati; Actinomycetota; Actinomycetes; Micromonosporales; Micromonosporaceae
Description: tRNA-Thr
Rfam family: tRNA
About the family: Transfer RNA (tRNA) molecules are approximately 80 nucleotides in length.
Source: RNAcentral
GCCAGCGAAGCUCACCAGGCCGAGCGCCGGUUUCGUAAUCCGGAGGCAGCGGGUUCAACUCCCGUCGCUGGCU